UCGAGGCAUAGUCUUUCCCCUGCUCUGGAUGUCCUCUACCUCGUAUCGCUUUCCCUUUGUCUUUCUUGAUUUGAUCUAAUGUAUCUUGUUGAAGGUUCUGCAGGACUCGAUCAUCUGCCCCGGUGUUCUUGGAUCUGUGAGUCGGCGAAUCGCAAAGUCUCGAUCGUGUGUAUGAUUCUUGGAUCGAUCGUCCGUGCUCAUAGAGACUGUGUUGAAUUCGAGACUGUUGACGCGUCUGAAUGACCUUAACCCUCUUUCCUUCUUGUCCGGAUUUGAGCAAGACAGAGGCGCAUGCUCUCGUCUUGAUGCUGAACGGAAGGUGAAUCCGAUCGUCCUUGCCCUCGAAAUGGUUUAUUCCAUUGGAUGGUUCUUCCCGUAGCCGUGAAUUUGAGUUGUCUUGUUGUUUCUCCUCUCUCGUUCUUUCUCUGUAAUGUUGUUUUACGCUUUCACUGUUCAGAAUGGUUCGGUUUCCCUCUCUCUCGAGAUCAAUCCGGUAAACUGCCGUGGUGCGUAUGAGGCCAAUGCAUCACGGCCGUUAAUUAGAUGGGGUAAACCGGGAUAAUCAAACCAUGGGUUUACAAUCCGUUGCUGUUUGCGAGCAGGCAGGAGACACAAGCAUGCUUGCGGGACCCACCCUAUAGAGUUCUUAUUUUAUUCGAAAUUUCAAAUACAUCCACAUGGGUUGAAUAAAUAAGACGGGUUCGUAAGCCGACGGGUCGGAUCGAGCGAUUUCUCGCCCGACCCAAAUCGGGCGCGCUUCCUUUCCCUAUAAAUAUCUGCGAGGAAGGCGGUUGUGUCGGUUCUUCCCCCCUUCUUUGAGGCAGAGCUCAGGGAGAGCGCAGGGUUACUACCUCCUCCCCCCCAAUGCCGAUCAACGACGGACCCGAGCAUGUGCCUCGUCGGGGUUCUCGGAUCGGCUUCAGAUUCGUGAUGUGUGUAUGAUCCAGACCCUAAAUCUUCUCUCCUCUCUAGAUGCUUUGUCUUCCGAUCGUAAAAGGAUGAUGAAAGGGUAGCUCGGUUAGGCAUCGAUAUCUUAUAUCAUCAGUUGCUUGAUUAUGAUAGCACAUCUUUUCUUUUCUUUUGAUGUUGUAUGUAUCAACAUCUUUGUGUCAGGUACUCUAGCAAAUUGUAUUUGUAGAGAUGAUACUGUAUCACCAAAGAAGUUAGUCUUGCAGGUGCAUGGGAAGUUUAUAAAUUUUAUUUGCUUCGUUUCUUGCUUA
Molecule: long non-coding RNA, 1220 nt
Organism: Musa acuminata subsp. malaccensis (wild Malaysian banana)
Lineage: Eukaryota; Viridiplantae; Streptophyta; Magnoliopsida; Zingiberales; Musaceae
Source: RefSeq, a predicted model, not a curated record